Molecule: ribosomal RNA, 510 nt
Filed under: Brevitrichia forficicruxa
Lineage: Eukaryota; Metazoa; Arthropoda; Insecta; Diptera; Scenopinidae
Description: partial 16S ribosomal RNA
Rfam family: Bacterial large subunit ribosomal RNA
Source: RNAcentral
AUUAAUUUAAAGUCUUGACCUGCCCACCUGAUUAAUUGAAUGGCCGCAGUAUUUUAACUGUGCAAAGGUAGCAUAAUCAUUAGUCUUUUAAUUGAAGGCUUGUAUGAAUGGUUGGACGAAAUAUAAUCUGUCUCAUAAAAAUUUAUAAUAGAAUUUUAUUUUUUAGUCAAAAAGCUAAAAUAAAAUUAAAAGACGAGAAGACCCUAUAGAUCUUUAUAAUUGAUUUGGUUAUUGUUAUUUAGAUGUUUUAAACAUUAAUUAUGUUAAUUAUUUUAUUGGGGUGAUACUAAAAUUUAAUUAACUUUUAUUUAUUAAUAACAUUGAUUUAUGAAUAAUUGAUCCAUUAUUAGUGAUUAUAAGAUUAAGUUACCUUAGGGAUAACAGCGUAAUCUUCUUGGAGAGUUCAUAUUGAUAAGAAGGGUUGCGACCUCGAUGUUGGACUAAAAUAAAUUCUAGGUGUAGCAGUUUAGAAUAUUAAGUCUGUUCGACUUUUAAUUUUUUACAUGAUCU